This 74-nucleotide transfer RNA is filed under the name Canis lupus familiaris (dog). It matches the Rfam family "tRNA". Rfam says of the family: Transfer RNA (tRNA) molecules are approximately 80 nucleotides in length. Their secondary structure includes four short double-helical elements and three loops (D, anti-codon, and T loops). Further hydrogen bonds mediate the characteristic L-shaped molecular structure. tRNAs have two regions of fundamental functional importance: the anti-codon, which is responsible for specific mRNA codon recognition, and the 3' end, to which the tRNAs corresponding amino acid is attached (by aminoacyl-tRNA synthetases). tRNAs cope with the degeneracy of the genetic code in two manners: having more than one tRNA (with a specific anti-codon) for a particular amino acid; and 'wobble' base-pairing, i.e. permitting non-standard base-pairing at the 3rd anti-codon position. RNAcentral also lists the same sequence under 1 other name. Lineage: Eukaryota; Metazoa; Chordata; Mammalia; Carnivora; Canidae. The record is from Rfam by way of RNAcentral.
ACUUGGCUGGCUCAGUCAGUGAGACCAUGAGACUCCUGAUCUUAGGGUUGUGGGUUCAAGCCCCAUGUUAGGCA